UGCUUGGGGGUACUCUGUAGCGGACUGGCGAAGGGGCAGUAAUACAUGGAUAACCUACCCUGGGGAUGGGCAUAGCCGGUCUAACGGCCGGGUAAUACCCAGAGAUUCGGCGAGGAGGCAUCUUUUUGCCGGGAAAUGAAUUUCGCUUCGGGAGGGGUCCAUGAGCUAUCAGCUAGUUGGUGGGGUAGCGGCCUACCAAGGCUAAGACGGCUAGCGGGUGUGAGAGCACGACCCGCGCCACUGGCACUGAGACACUGGCCAGACACCUACGGGUGGCUGCAGUCGAGGAUCUUCGUCAAUGGGCGAAAGCCUGAACGAGCGAUGCCGCGUGAGCGAUGAAGGCCUUCGGGUUGUAAAGCUCAAAAGUGAAGAGAAAGGGAAACUUGAUCGAUUCACAGUAAGCUCGGGCUAAGUUCGUGCCAGCAGCCGCGGUAAGACGAACCGAGCGAACGUUGUUCGGAAUCACUGGGCUUAAAGGGCGCGUANGCGGGCAUUCAAGUCUGUGGUGAAAUCCUCCAGCUCAACUGGAGANCUGCCAUGGAUACUGGGUGUCUCGAGGGUGGUAGGGGUAUGCGGAACUAUCGGUGGAGCGGUGAAAUGCGUUGAUAUCGAUAGGAACUCCGGUGGCGAANGCGGCAUACUGGACCACAUCUGACGCUGAGGCGCGAAAGCCAGGGGACNAACGGGAUNNAUNCCCGGUAGUCNUGGCCCUAAACNANGGGUACUAACUAGUAGGGUNCAAUGACUUUCUGGG
This 754-nucleotide ribosomal RNA is filed under the name uncultured Gemmata sp. Its description in RNAcentral is "bacterial SSU rRNA". It matches the Rfam family "Bacterial small subunit ribosomal RNA", at positions 69 to 847 of the family's 1533-position model. Lineage: Bacteria; Pseudomonadati; Planctomycetota; Planctomycetia; Gemmatales; Gemmataceae. The record is from RNAcentral.